AGAGUUUGAUCCUGGCUCAGGAUGAACGCUAGCGGCAGGCUUAACACAUGCAAGUCGAGGGGUAGAGGUUGCUUGCAACCUUGAGACCGGCGCACGGGUGCGUAACGCGUAUGCAACCUACCUUUUACAGAGGGAUAGCCCAGAGAAAUUUGGAUUAAUACCUCAUAGUAUAUAUCUUUCGCAUGUUAGGUAUAUUAAAGUUCCAACGGUAAAAGAUGGGCAUGCGUCCUAUUAGCUAGAUGGUAGGGUAACGGCUUACCAUGGCUACGAUAGGUAGGGGUCCUGAGAGGGAGAUCCCCCACACUGGUACUGAGACACGGACCAGACUCCUACGGGAGGCAGCAGUGAGGAAUAUUGGACAAUGGGCGCAAGCCUGAUCCAGCCAUGCCGCGUGCAGGAAGAAGCAUCUAUGGUGUGUAAACUGCUUUUGUACAGGAAGAAACAUCCCGACGUGUCGGGACUUGACGGUACUGUAAGAAUAAGGAUCGGCUAACUCCGUGCCAGCAGCCGCGGUAAUACGGAGGAUCCAAGCGUUAUCCGGAAUCAUUGGGUUUAAAGGGUCCGUAGGCGGUUUGGUAAGUCAGUGGUGAAAGCCCGCAGCUCAACUGUGGAACGGCCAUUGAUACUGCCAGACUUGAAUUACAAGGAAGUAACUAGAAUAUGUAGUGUAGCGGUGAAAUGCUUAGAUAUUACAUGGAAUACCAAUUGCGAAGGCAGGUUACUACUUGUGGAUUGACGCUGAUGGACGAAAGCGUGGGGAGCGAACAGGAUUAGAUACCCCGGUAGUCCAA
This 791-nucleotide ribosomal RNA is filed under the name uncultured bacterium. RNAcentral's name for it is "bacterial SSU rRNA". It matches the Rfam family "Bacterial small subunit ribosomal RNA", at positions 8 to 798 of the family's 1533-position model. The record is from RNAcentral.